GAAUAUGGGGAGCAACAUAAUAAGGAUAGAGGGGGACUCCGAGGUCUGCGGACGCUGGCAAAUAUACCUUGAAGUCUCCGCGUACGGCUAGCUCACUGAUAUCUAGUUUGAUAGAAAGUACCUGGAUCUACACAAAAAGAUGUGCAAAAGCGUAGUAUGAGUACACCACAACGGUACCAGUAAGUGCCAAGCCUAACCUCAGUAGAGUAGUGACGAGGUCAGGUCAGGCCCUACUGGAAAUAAUAAAAGACAGGGUGAAAAGUUUAACAAUAUAAUAAUAAUAAUGACAAUUGGAAUAAAUUAAGUAAGGAGUAUGUCACAAUUUAACUACACAGAAUAAGGACAAAUAAUAACUCACGGAAGGAAAACAAAAAAUUUUCAUAUUUAAGAAAAACAUAAAAUAACCAAAAGCAAGUGCAGCCAUAGAGAAAUAUCAACAAGGGCACUCCUAAGGUACCGCCUCGUAGUCCCAAAUCAUAAAUAAAUUCACAAUAAUUCUUUUCCUUAUUCACCUCGGGAGCCUUCACAUUUAAUUUUAAAGAAAUUAUUUUCCUGAAAUAGCAUCCCGCGUUUUAACCAUCCUUAUCACACUGCAUGGCUUCUAUUAGUUCCCCCACUAGCCACGCGUAUCAAGCCACCCUUAUCUCACUGCAUGCGUUUCAACACCCAGACCUUAUACCACCGCAUGCGUAUCAAUAUCACAAUUUGCACCUCAAGUGCCCAAAUAUUUUAACUUGCCAAAAUAAAUCAACAACAACAUUAUUUUUCCACAAUAAGGAGCUCACGACUCAAUCACAAUGAAUACAAAAUCUCACAAAAUAUUCGGGGGUGAAUAACUCAACAAAAAAAAAAAAAUAUUUCACAAAUUUAACACUUUGCCUUAAUACCAAAUUUUGAAUAAAAGAAACAAAGCUUCAACUAAAUAGGUAAAGCAAUUAGCAGAAAAAGGUAAGGCAAAUUUAAAAUAUAUAGGUAGACCAAUGAUGAUGAAUAUAACAGGAUAAAUAAUAAUUUAAUUAAUAUGAGACAAAAAUCUACACUAUUUAAAACUAGAAUUUUCCACAUUUAGCUCGUGUACACACUCGUCACCUCAUGUACAUGGCUUUCAACAUAUCACAAUUUUCAUAACAAUACCAAUCCUAAGGGAAAUUUCCCCCACACAAGGUUAGACAAGUCACUUACCUCGAAUCGGGUAAUUCUUUACUCCGCUAUGCCUUUGCCUCGUGAAUUGGCCUCCGAAAGCCUCGUAUCUUAAGGAUUCAAGAUUUUUAUUUAUUUAAAGGGCAAAAAAACUCCAGCCACGUAUACGAUAGCUAAGAUGAAUUGGCAACUAAACUCAACCAACGACUAUGACCACACCGGAGAAACUCGACUAGAACCUCUCGAAGUUACAAACGGACAGCUCUUCGGCUCGACUAGAACCUGUGGUGGCGUUUUGGGGGAGGGCUAUUUCGGGACUAUUUUUCAGCUGUUUUGCAAUUAAUUUUGGGACUUGAGGUCGUUUUUCAAAACUGUUUUGGUCCAUUUUCUGUUGCGUUUUUGCUGCUGGAAAUUGGUGUUUUGGGUGACGUUUUGCUAAGGUUUUCGGCUGCGUUUUGGUGAUGUUUUGGGUGACGCUUUACUGAGGUUUUUGGCUGCAUUUUGAUGGUGUUAACUGGUGGUUAACGGAGGUUCAUGGCUGCAUUUUCAGGCAGAUUUUCAGCUCGUUCUUUGAGCUUUUUGAGGUCGUUUUUGAGCAGCUUUCCCAUGGCUUUUAAUGGGGUUUCAAGGAGAGUUUUACAUGGUUUUCAUGGAGGAUGGUGGCUGGUUGUUGGUGAGUUAUGGAUGGGAUUUCACUGAUGUUUUAAUGGAAGUUAGCAGCUAUUUUUUUUGUUAUUAAUAUGGCUGAAGAAGAUGAGUUUAUGGUGGUGGAUUUGCUGUAUUGAAAAAAAGAAGAAACGGACGAGCUGAAAAAGGAAGAAUACCCUGAAAACUAAUCCUCACGUUGCUCACUCCUUGUUCUCUCUCAAAUUUUUCCGUCUGUUUUCCUCUCUGUUUCUUUUGUUUCUUUCUAGAUCUAUAUCCUCUCCUCAGAUCCGUUUUCCCCCUCUCUGCUCUCUAUUCUUUAUCUAUGUGCCUCUCUAAAAUGGAUGAAUUCUUGGGCAAAAGAAAUGAGUGUGGUCCCCCACUAAUAAAAAAUACCGUGUG
This 2187-nucleotide long non-coding RNA is filed under the name Nicotiana tabacum (common tobacco). Its description in RNAcentral is "long non-coding RNA (NTAB_LNC001953)". The record is from RNAcentral. Lineage: Eukaryota; Viridiplantae; Streptophyta; Magnoliopsida; Solanales; Solanaceae.